ACCAACAAAAGCCUCUGAUCUUUUCUCAUCUCCUUCAACACUUCUUUCAUUAUUCUCUUUUGUUUGACACUGUUGCGCGUUGUCAUGCCCACGUAUUUUACCCUCCAGUCAUUGGCUUAUGACCCUUACUAUCUAUUACUAUAAAGAACAGUUUAAUCUCUCCAUAGAGCUCCACAUAGGAAUCCACGUAGAUAAUUCGCCUCUCCAGAAGCUGACAUGUGUCCACCUACGCCAAACGCACCGUAUCAUUUAUUCCUCACCGUCGUGGGCGUUUGCGUGUUCUGAGUUUGGGCUGUGAAAUUUAAAACUGUUUCUGGCCCGAAAGAAUAUAUCUCACCUCCAAACCCUAAUCAGCUGUGGUCGUCUUUCAUCAUCCUGUGACGGCGACUCAAUGCCGUUUGCUCUUCUUCUCACCAACUCAAACGUUCCGAGUAAAGGUUUCGUUAUUAAUCCCAUUUAUUCGCUCCCCCACCACUAUAUAAGCUACGUAUUUCUCCGUCUCGAAUCAGGGAGCUGCAGAUCAAUUCCGGCGGAACCCAAAGAGACGGUCAAUGGUCUUGGUGAAGAUAAAACAGUGAUGAUCAAUCUGAGGCAAGAGUAAAAAAAACCGAUAUCUUUGGAGAGUCUGUUUAUGGUAGUGGCUGAUGAUCUACAGUCUGAACGACAAACUUCUCUUGAUUGUUGGUGCAGAAAACCCGGUUCUGAUAUCUGGGCUAAGCAAAUAGUCAGUGCUGGUGGUUAACUACUUCCCUUCAAGGUAUGACCCAGUUCGCCAUGCAGAGAAUUAUCCAACUCCACCUGCAGUCUGCUAUGUAAAACGUGGAGGGCCAUGUAUUAUUGAGAAAGAGAACAACUUCAAGGAGCCUAGAGAUUGCAAUUGUUCCUUCACACCAGAGAAGCAAGAACGUCGGUCGAUGGAUUGAUGCUCUGUCACCCCCUCCCAUCACACAUGAAAUCUGCAGCAUCUGGAUAUCUUGCUGGUCCCAGGCUGAUAAGUCACUGGGACAGAAGCUGGCAAGCCGUCUGAACGUGAGACCAAGCAUCUAAAACGAGUGAACAAGAUUCUCGAUUGGUCGUUCUGUGGUUCCAACAGACGAGAGAAAAAAGAUGGGAAGAUAUCAGAUGUGCCAUGGAUAUAAUCUUCAUCAUGUGUAUCCUGUGUGUUGUGUAGUAAUAUUUUUUGUUGACCAAAACAAUAAAACUUCUGUUGUGUUGUGACCUUAGUCUUAUCUAUUUUUAUGAGUUCAUUUACAA
Raphanus sativus (radish) is the source of this 1254-nucleotide long non-coding RNA. RefSeq lists it as uncharacterized. The transcript is spliced from 7 exons. The record is from RefSeq and is a predicted model, not a curated record. Lineage: Eukaryota; Viridiplantae; Streptophyta; Magnoliopsida; Brassicales; Brassicaceae.